UUUAAUUAUUUUGAGUUUCUUCUGAAAAUGCCACACUUCCAUUUUUAUCCUCUUCAUAGUUAAUGGUGCAGCUAAGCCAGAAGAGGGAGCAAAAACAAAUGGGCCAUUCCCUCAAACACUCUAGUGUUCGUUUUCAUUUAUUUCCAAUUCGAAUAUUGGCUAAAGGGGGGGGAGGAGGAAGAAAGGGAAGGAAAUUUAUAUUUAAAAAUCUAAAAACUAUAGAUGAGAAGACUGCAUUUUAUCCUAUCUUACAAUGGUCUAAGAACAAAAGCUAAUAUUGCAGCCAUUUUCACAUGAACUUGCCUUACACACUCAGAAGCUAAUGCAAAGAAGGAAGAUGAAUAAGGGACCAGGAGCCUCAGAGACUUGGAACACCUAAACGCUGUGCCACAAAUGCUCUCUAUGACCUUGCCAGCAAAGGAAUCUUCAAAACCUCUCUGCCUCAGUUUGGAUGUGCAGAGUAAGACACACAGAAAAUGGUUGCAUUGUAAUAGUCGUGUUGGGUAGCAUGUUCUUGGACUGCCAAGGGUUGAGAUGUUAUCAGUUGAGGAAGUGCAAGUGGUACAUAGUUUAGCUGGAAGUUAUCCUUCAGACUGCAACCACUGAAGAAACCAAACAGAAUUCUGACACCCAUUUGGAGUGGGGUACAACUUAGGAGUGCAGGAAGAGCUACCAAGGCAGCACAGGAACAGAGGAUGAACAAGCUACCUCCCUUAUACCUUUGCAAUGGGCUACACAGGAGUACAGGCACUGACUGGAGCAACAAUGGAUUCUCUAGCAUCGGAACAGAUCUACUUAGUAUCUGAACCACUGCUGCUGCAGGACAGAUCUGCCAAGCAGCUGGAGAAACAGAGCAGCUCUACCUCUGCCCUGUCCCACCAGGGUCCCCUCCUGCCUGCACACAGCCAGGGCAGGGCUGGGAGCAAAGCUGAUGCGACUGCAGCAUAGGUCACCGUGGCUGCAGAUGAGGACGCUAAACAUGAAAACAAAGCAUAAGAACUAUUCAGAAGAACUUAAAGCAGAAAAUUGUUUGCCAUAUCUUCCACAACAGAACACAAAAGAAGCUUUAAUUAACAAGAACAAAAGAAAGAAGAGAAAGAAGAGGGCUGACACUUCAGAACCAGAGAUGAGUGAUGAAAAUUCAGGAUCAGAUAUUUCAAAGACUUCAGCACAUCAAAGUCACACAUCAAGUUUGUGCACCAAAAGUUUCCUACCCCAAUCACAGCAAAAAGCCUCAGCUGAUGAGUGCCGCUGAACACGGUGUAUACUGGCCUACACAAACCAAUGUCCCCAUCCUCAGAUUUACAUACUUGUACAAGCUCUACCCCCUCAUUCAGAUCAAAAGGCUGUACGCUUCAUUUUCAGUGGGACUCGUUUUCACUUACAAGCUCAUACAGUGAGGCAGACAUGUGCAAUAGCAGGGUGGCAAAGUCUUUGGCUGCAGCAAGAACAAGCCCAAAUACAGCAGCCAUGGACACAGAAACAAAUGGGGAAAAACAUGAAAAAGAAAAAGCUGCUUACCCUUGGAAGGCUUCAAGUAGACAGACCACCAGCAGGAUACCUCUGCCCCCAUUGCUAACCCUUAUAUGAGGUCUUGGAAGGGAUGAAUCCUAGCCCCACCUGCAUGCACCCCAUGGCCCCACCCACAACCCUUCUGGCUACUCAGGUACACUGCGUGCACCUGAGCUCCCCUGGGUUGGCCCUGCCUUCACACCAGGUGCUCCAUCAAUGCUUCAGGCCAUGACUUAGCUUUUCCACUACAACACAUUAAUACCAAAGAAUACAUGCAGCAGUGUGAAUAGCUUCCACCAUUCUCUUAGGCAGAGAGAACAUUUCUGAGGACUCGGUUAUGCUCUUCCAGUAAAAUGUCAGGUAUCAGACAAACCAGGUCACUUAGUACUUUGGGAGAAAAAAAAGCAAACAGGAC
This 1927-nucleotide long non-coding RNA is filed under the name Coturnix japonica (Japanese quail). Its description in RNAcentral is "lncRNA (ENSCJPG00005001083.1)". The record is from RNAcentral. Lineage: Eukaryota; Metazoa; Chordata; Aves; Galliformes; Phasianidae.